AUGCAACCCCCGACGGCCGCUCUGUCUGCGUCGUCGCUGGAGUGCGCGAGCUCGUGCAGGGCCUUGUGGAAGGGGGGCGGCGGAGCUGGGAGGCCCUACGAAUGCAGCGUCCUCUCCUGCGCCUGGAACGCUCCACGCGCGCUCACCGGCGCGCUUGCCAGCACCACGCAGUGCUCCUCCUGUAGCCACGCUGAAGCCGUAGGCGGCGGGAGGCGGCGAGGUCGCCCACGGCAGAGUAACAACAACACGCUACUGCACAUCACCUGGGCAGAAGACAUCAACAAAGGAAAGUUGGGCCAUGGUUCAUCAGCUAGUUUUGUUUCCUCGGUAAAAAAAAUCAGAUAUUGGUCAACUCCUGUGAAGUCAAUGUGGAGGGUUUCCUGCUAUUCGUCAGGACCGUUCGACCUUGUUUCUCCAGAAACGUUGUGGGAGAGUCUCAGACCAGCUAUCUCGUACCUUCAACCUGAAGAGUUGAACUUCGUACAUGACGCUUUAAAGUUAGCAUAUGAAGCACAUAAUGGGCAGAAACGCCGGAGUGGGGAGCCUUUUAUCAUUCAUCCUGUUGAAGUUGCUCGUAUUCUUGGGGAGCACGAACUUGACUGGGAAUCAAUCGCUGCUGGUUUAUUGCAUGACACUGUUGAAGAUACUGACAUGGUUACUUUCGAAACAAUCCAAAAUGAGUUUGGGGCAACAGUAAGUCGUAUUGUUGAAGGGGAAACAAAGGUGUCUAAGCUAGGGAAACUUCAAUGCAAAAAUGAGGGUAGUUCAAAACAAGAUGUCAAAGCUGAAGACUUAAGACAGAUGUUUCUUGCAAUGACAGAAGAGGUUCGUGUAAUCAUUGUGAAACUGGCAGACAGGUUGCAUAACAUGCGUACUCUUACACAUAUGCCUCAGCACAAGCAGUAUGCUAUCGCCAUGGAGACACUGCAGGUUUUUGCACCCCUAGCAAAACUUCUCGGGAUGUAUCAAAUAAAGUCUGAGUUAGAGUAUCUGUCCUUCAUGUACAUGAAUCCUGGUGAUUUCGCUGAACUAAGGAAAAGAGUUGAUGACAUCUUCAAAGCCCAUGAACAAGAAUUGGAAGAGGCAAAUAAAAUCCUAAAGCAAAAAAUUGCUGAGGAUCAAUUUCUUGAUCUUGUGAGUGUUGAAACAGAAGUGCGCUCAGUGUGUAAAGAACUUUACAGCAUUUAUAAAACCGCUCUCAAAUCCAAGAGUUCAUUAAAUGAGGUAAAUCAGGUUGCUCAGCUGCGGAUCAUCAUAAAACCAAAAUCCUGCAAUGGUGUUGGGCCACUGUGCACCGGACAACAGAUCUGCUACCAUGUCCUUGGUCUUGUUCAUGGCAUAUGGACACCUAUACCUCAAGCUGUUAAAGAUUAUAUUGCAACUCCAAAGCCUAAUGGCUAUCAAAGUCUACAUACUACAGUGAUACCGUUUCUUAAUGAGAGUAUGUUCCAUUUGGAAGUUCAGAUAAGAACAGAGGAUAUGGAUCUGAUAGCAGAAAGAGGCAUUGCUGCACACUACAGUGGAAGAGGGGUGGUUUCAGGACCUGUUCGUCCUGGAAUAUCUAGUGGAAGAAAUUUAGAUGGGAAAGUGAUCUGUCUUAACAAUACAGGCUUUGCUCUGAGGAUUGGUUGGCUAAAUGCAAUCCGUGAAUGGCAAGAAGAGUUUGUUGGUAACAUGAGCUCUAGGGAAUUUGUGGAUACUAUUACCAGAGAUCUUCUGGGAAGCCGUGUCUUUGUGUUUACACCUAAAGGCGAGAUUAAAAACCUGCCUAAGGGGGCCACUGUGAUUGAUUAUGCAUAUCUGAUCCAUACAGAAAUCGGCAAUAAAAUGGUAGCAGCAAAGGUGAAUGGUAAUCUAGUUUCACCAAUCCAUGCGCUUGCGAACGCUGAAGUAGUGGAGAUAAUAACUUACGAUAAAUUGUCCAGUAAAUAUGCAUUCCAGCGUCAUCAGCAGUGGCUGCAACAUGCCAAAACCCGCAGUGCUAGGCACAAAAUUAUGAAAUUCUUAAGGGAGCAAGCUGCUCUUUCUGCCGCUGAAAUAACGGCGGAUGCAGUUAAUAACUUUGUCGCUGAUCUUGAAGAUGAAAGUGACAGCGAGCAGUUAAUUCCAACCACACAAAACGAGGACUAUAAAUUCAAUUGGCAGAAGAUAUUAAGUUCCAACAAGUUAUCCUUUGUGAAUAAAAAUAGCGAUGGCUUUUUACCAGUUAACAACAUUCACACGCCAAAGAUUAAUGGGAAGCACAACAAAACUGUGAAGGAACUAGGCAUCAAAAUUAAUGGUUCAACAGUUCGAGGUGAUAGCUCCACUGAGUUCAUGCGCCCUGGCGUCCCGGCCUAUAAGGAAGUUUUUGCUAGUUUGGAUAAUUGGAAAUGCGGUAAAAUUUCCUCUUGGCACAAUACAGAAGGCAACUCUAUCCAAUGGCUUUGCAUAGUGUGUGUUGAUCGAAAAGGGAUGAUGGCUGAAGUUACUUCGGCUUUGACAGCUUGCGGAAUCACCAUAUGUUCUUGUGUGGCGGAGAGAGAUAACAGAAGAGGAAUGGGUGUGCUGCUUUUCCAUUUUGAGGGAACUGAUGAGAAUGUGGUGAGCGCAUGCUCCAGUGUUGAGAUGAUUCUUGGUGUUCUUGGUUGGUCUGCUGGGUGUAGUUAUAAUCCGCUUGGUGUUCUUGAGUGCUAG
RNAcentral lists this ribosomal RNA (2676 nucleotides) under Triticum aestivum (bread wheat). RNAcentral's name for it is "partial small subunit ribosomal RNA". Lineage: Eukaryota; Viridiplantae; Streptophyta; Magnoliopsida; Poales; Poaceae. The record is from RNAcentral.